Molecule: ribosomal RNA, 169 nt
Filed under: Dipteryx polyphylla
Lineage: Eukaryota; Viridiplantae; Streptophyta; Magnoliopsida; Fabales; Fabaceae
Description: 5.8S ribosomal RNA
Rfam family: 5.8S ribosomal RNA
About the family: 5.8S ribosomal RNA (5.8S rRNA) is a component of the large subunit of the eukaryotic ribosome.
Source: RNAcentral
UCGCAUAACGACUCUCGGCAACGGAUAUCUCGGCUCUCGCAUCGAUGAAGAACGUAGCGAAAUGCGAUACCUGGUGUGAAUUGCAGAAUCCCGCGAACCAUCGAGUCUUUGAACGCAAGUUGCGCCCGAAGCCACCAGGCCGAGGGCACGUCUGCCUGGGCGUCACGCA